Molecule: long non-coding RNA, 395 nt
Organism: Melospiza melodia melodia
Lineage: Eukaryota; Metazoa; Chordata; Aves; Passeriformes; Passerellidae
Exons: 2
Source: RefSeq, a predicted model, not a curated record
AUGAUAAUUGAGAACAGUUUCACCUCUGCUGCCGCUCUCCAACUGCAGUCACAAGACUUGCUAUGGCCUUGCAAAAGGGAAGAUGUUUGGGGAGAUCUGCGAUAUGGAGGAGAACAGAGAACGUGUGUGAUAUCCGCCAGCUGGAUUCCAUCUGUCUUUUCUCUCUGGAGAUGGAGUUUCAAAGGCUACAUCCUAUCUACUGUCACACCCUCUCCCGACAUGAGAAGCUAAGUGCAAAGUUUGGCCAAAGUGUUGGAAAAACAGUAUCUCCUUUGUACAUCACCACUAUUUCCCUACCUACACAAAAGUAGCAUUCUUCCUGUUCUGGCAUGCAGGGUGUAUUGUUGCACUGUAUCACAACCUUUUAUUAAAUAAGAGGAGUGUUGCCAAAAUUA